UAGUAGCUAGUUUAAUUAAAAACAAGUGAUUUCGACUCACUAGAUUAUGCUUAAAUACAUAACUACUAA
Molecule: transfer RNA, 69 nt
Filed under: Proechimys cuvieri (Cuvier's spiny rat)
Lineage: Eukaryota; Metazoa; Chordata; Mammalia; Rodentia; Echimyidae
Description: tRNA-Arg
Rfam family: tRNA
About the family: Transfer RNA (tRNA) molecules are approximately 80 nucleotides in length.
Source: RNAcentral